Molecule: unclassified non-coding RNA, 255 nt
Filed under: plant metagenome
Description: partial contains small subunit ribosomal RNA, internal transcribed spacer 1, and 5.8S ribosomal RNA
Rfam family: Eukaryotic small subunit ribosomal RNA (bases 1-54)
Source: RNAcentral
GGAAGUGAAAGUCGUAACAAGGUUUCCGUAGGUGAACCUGCGGAAGGAUCAUUACUGAGUGAGGGCCCUCUGGGUCCAACCUCCCACCCGUGUUUAUUAUACCUUGUUGCUUCGGUGAGCCCGCCUCACGGCCGCCGGGGGGCAUCUGCCCCCGGGCCCGCGCCCACCGAGGACACCUAGAACUCUGUAUGAAGAUUGCAGUCUGAGCAAAAACUAAAUAAGUUAAAACUUUCAACAACGGAUCUCUUGGUUCCG